GGCAAUAACCGGGACCACGUUAUACCUCGUCAGUCAACGCUGACAGAAUAUUCGAACCAAUGUGCAUUAGUUUCUUUCCCUGAGCGUUUCAUAGUUUCACAGCAGACUGAAAUACUGCCUACCGCCAGUCAUGUCUGAGGACGUUUUAACAAAGAAAAGCAAAGGUGCACCAGCCAACGUGAAAGAUUUCAAGAAAAAGGCCAAGAAAAGAAAGUUCCCCUUAGGAUUCGACCACCAGGAACAAUCUUACAAACAGGGAAAGAUUGACCAGACAGACAAUAAGACCCAUAUCAAGACUUCAUCAUUGUUCAAAAACAACCCAGAAAUCCUUGAUGUUGACCGACCUACUGUCACCCAAGUUAAGGAGAAUGUCUUCACCAGUGACUCCUUCUCUGAGCUGAACCUGCAUCCACACCUAGUGGUAACUCUCAACAAAGUCCUGAACCUAACAUGUAUGACCUGUGUACAGAAACAGACAAUUCCUGUCUUGAUGUGUGGACGAGAUGCUGUGGUUCGUUCUCAGACGGGGUCUGGUAAAACUCUGGCCUAUGGGAUUCCAAUGGUCCAGGCACUACAGUCAGUGGAGCCAAAGAUCAAGAGAGGAGAUGGACCUCUGGCUGUCAUCAUUGUCCCCACCAGAGAACUGGCCCAGCAGACCUACCAGAUAUUUCUGAAACUUCUUAAGCCUUUCACCUGGAUUGUCCCCGGUGUUCUUAUGGGGGGAGAGAAGAGGAAGGCAGAGAAAGCCAGGCUUCGUAAGGGCAUUAACAUUCUGAUCUCCACGCCAGGCCGUCUGGUGGAUCAUAUCAAGAACACCCUCAGCAUAGCCUUUAGUGCUACUCGCUGGCUUAUCCUGGACGAGGCAGACAGGACUUUAGACUUGGGUUUUGAGAAGGACCUUACAGUAAUCUUAAACUCCCUCAACUCUACUGCCCCCUCCAGACAGAAUGUCAUGCUGUCUGCAACUCUCACAGAUGGCCUGUCUCGGUUGACGGGGGUGUGUAUGAAAAACCCUGUCAGUAUCCAUGUGUCUGAAAACUCAAAGACUAGCUCUGAAAUCACCUACCUUGAUGUUGCCGCCCAGAGCCAAACGAUGAGCUUUAGUGUGCCAGACAAUCUCCAGCAGUAUGUGGUAGUAGUGCCCAGCAAACUCAGACUUGUCUGCCUGGCGGCCUUCAUCUUGGCAAGAUGCAAGUUUGAAAAUGGCCACAAGCUCAUUGUGUUCGUGUCCAGCUGUGAGGGGGUAGAGUUCCUCUUCUCUCUCUUCACCUCCGUAUUGUGCCACCCAACCACCAAUCAAUUGCACCCUCUGAACUUCCUGCGUCUCCAUGGCAACAUGAAGCAGAGGGAGCGGACUGAGGUGUUCCAGGAGUUCUCAGUCUGCAGGGACGGCGUACUGCUCUGUACUGAUGUGGCAUCGCGAGGUUUGGACUUACCCAAAGUCACCUGGAUAGUACAAUACUCCCCUACCACAGCAGCAGAGUAUGUGCACCGUGUGGGUAGGACGGCUCGCAUUGGGGCACAAGGAAACAGCCUCCUCUUCAUAACCCCUGCUGAGACGGCCUACAUAUCCGAGCUGGCCAAUCACAACAUCAGCCUUUCAGAGAUGAAGCUGCAGGAUAUCUUAAGUUGUCUGAUGCUGGAUGACACUUAUAAAGGGCGAGGAAAGUACCACAAGUCCUCAGGGGCUCUGGAGCAAGAGAUCCGUGAGAGGGCUACUGUUCUCCAGACAGAGUUUGAGAACGUUGUCCAUGCCAACGAAGAAAAUGUCCAACUGGCAAAGAAAGCCCUGCAGUCUUUUGUGCGAGCAUACACUGCCUAUCCUUCCAGCGUGAAGCACAUCUUCCACAUACGCACCCUCCAUCUUGGCCACGCUGCGAAGAGCUUCGGCCUGCGAGAUGCACCCCAAGGCCUGACACAGGAGGGUUCAGCUGACCAUGCCAAAGGCUCUGGGAAGGCUAGGAACCAAGCGAAAAGACAUGACAAAAACCAUGGAGACGUCCAGGUCGUCCACGGAAGUCCACACCUCGACAGGAGCGUCUUUGGAUGAGAAGGGUUGAAGAAAAUCGGCUUGCAAGUUCACUGCAGUUAUCUAAAGAGGAAUCAUAAACUUAGUGCUAAAGAGCGAAUGUCGACUCUCCUGUGCUCAGAAUUCUCCAGUGGGAUUUAGGAAGUCUCAAAAACAAAGAAGCAGCUGCAGCAUACAUAAGGCGAGCAUGGUACAGAAGAAGAAACGGGAGGAGGAAGAAUAUAAAGAGAAGAUCAUAGGGGAGUCUGAUUGGCGCUAAAGUGGCUAACUUUCCCAACUCCAGCUACCAGCUGGCAGGCACACUUCUCCAACUUUAAAACCACCUUGUGGCUCCUUGACCUGUCUUCCUUUUCCAUGGCUCCUACACGCGUAACCCCUGAUUUCAGUUGUGUUUUGUACUGUAGAACCAAAGCAGGUUCUUGACCUUACAGAUGUCUUUCUGUAAUAUGAUUGUCAUCGGAAGGUGAGGUGGCCUCAGGUGCAUACAGAACCAAUGAGUUGCAAUUAAACUAUAGUCUACCAUAUUUACUUUGGUCCGUUUGUCGUUAUUCCGCUGUUUGUAUGUUCGUACUCCCAUUUUCCUGAUGGUUAUUGUUGUCCAGAUGUUACCUUGCUUUCAAAAAGCUUUUUUUUCCUUUUAUCCAAAGCGACACACAGAGGGGAUUUGCAGGGAAUCCCCUCUGUAUGUCAUGAUGAUUGUGACAGGGAAUCUGCAGACAUAAAAUAACACAAAACAUAAAAAUAAAAAAACUAUUCGCAAGCAAAAUAUUACAUUUAAUUACAAAAUGUUCCUUUUGGUAUACAACAAAAAAAGUAAGCCGGUUUGGGCCUGAAAGCAAAAUAUUACAUUUAUUUAAAAUAUUAGACUUUUUGUAUCACCCAAUAUAUGAUACAAAAAAAGUGGGCCGGUCUUGGGCCUGAAACUCCCGGGCUGAAAAGUGGUCCCACUCCGGCCCUGCAUUACACUGUCGGUUGAAGACCGAGGUGAAAUCAGUUUCAUAUUCGAGAUUCAACAGACAUUCAUAUUCGUACCUCCGUUCAGGUUCUGCGUCAUAUUUAGGGACCGGGGUAGACAGUCCGAAU
Molecule: RNA transcript, 3112 nt
Organism: Hypomesus transpacificus
Lineage: Eukaryota; Metazoa; Chordata; Actinopteri; Osmeriformes; Osmeridae
Gene: ddx31
Gene name: DEAD (Asp-Glu-Ala-Asp) box polypeptide 31
Exons: 22
Source: RefSeq, a predicted model, not a curated record